This 292-nucleotide ribosomal RNA is filed under the name uncultured bacterium. RNAcentral's name for it is "partial 16S ribosomal RNA". It matches the Rfam family "Bacterial small subunit ribosomal RNA", at positions 505 to 796 of the family's 1533-position model. The record is from RNAcentral.
GUGCCAGCAGCCGCGGUAAUACGUAUGGGGCUAGCGUUGUUCGGAAUUAUUGGGCGUAAAGGGCGUCUAGGCGGGGGAUUAAGUUAGGUGUGAAAUCCCUGGGCUCAACCCAGGAACUGCAUCUAAAACUGGUUCUCUUGAGUUCGGGAGAGGAGAGCGGAAUUCCCGGUGUAGCGGUGAAAUGCGUAGAUAUCGGGAAGAACACCAGUGGCGAAGGCGGCUCUCUGGCCUAGAACUGACGCUGAAGCGCGAAAGCGUGGGGAGCGAACGGGAUUAGAAACCCUCGUAGUCC